RNAcentral lists this ribosomal RNA (539 nucleotides) under uncultured bacterium. Its description in RNAcentral is "bacterial SSU rRNA". It matches the Rfam family "Bacterial small subunit ribosomal RNA", at positions 356 to 896 of the family's 1533-position model. The record is from RNAcentral.
GAGGAAUAUUGGUCAAUGGGCGCGAGCCUGAACCAGCCAAGUAGCGUGCAGGAUGACGGCCCUAUGGGUUGUAAACUGCUUUUGUAUGGGGAUAAAGUCAAUCACGUGUGAUUGUUUGCAGGUACCAUACGAAUAAGGACCGGCUAAUUCCGUGCCAGCAGCCGCGGUAAUACGGAAGGUCCAGGCGUUAUCCGGAUUUAUUGGGUUUAAAGGGAGCGUAGGCCGGAGAUUAAGUGUGUUGUGAAAUGUAGACGCUCAACGUCUGACUUGCAGCGCAUACUGGUUUCCUUGAGUACGCACAACGUUGGCGGAAUUCGUCGUGUAGCGGUGAAAUGCUUAGAUAUGACGAAGAACUCCGAUUGCGAAGGCAGCUGACGGGAGCGCAACUGACGCUUAAGCUCGAAGGUGCGGGUAUCGAACAGGAUUAGAUACCCUGGUAGUCCGCACAGUAAACGAUGGAUGCCCGCUGUUGGUACCUGGUAUCAGCGGCUAAGCGAAAGCAUUAAGCAUCCCACCUGGGGAGUACGCCGGCAACGGUG